This 94-nucleotide transfer RNA is filed under the name Acinetobacter courvalinii. RNAcentral's name for it is "tRNA-Arg". It matches the Rfam family "tRNA". From Rfam's summary of the family: Transfer RNA (tRNA) molecules are approximately 80 nucleotides in length. Their secondary structure includes four short double-helical elements and three loops (D, anti-codon, and T loops). Lineage: Bacteria; Pseudomonadati; Pseudomonadota; Gammaproteobacteria; Moraxellales; Moraxellaceae. The record is from RNAcentral.
GCGCUCUUAGCUUAAUUGGAUAAAGCAACAGACUUCUAAUCUGUCAAAUCAUCGUAGGUCAAGAGUGUGGGUUCGAGUCCCACAGGGCGUGCCA